Molecule: long non-coding RNA, 462 nt
Filed under: Homo sapiens (human)
Lineage: Eukaryota; Metazoa; Chordata; Mammalia; Primates; Hominidae
Description: non-protein coding lnc-OAZ3-5:1
Source: RNAcentral
GUUCUGUUAAAUCCAAGACUGAGUGUACCUACCAAAAGCAGUCAACCAUCUUUCAAAACAAGAGGGUCCUGCUGGGAGAUACUGGCAAUGAGAAGUUCCUAUAGGACCAUAAGAUCAUUUGGGCUUCAAUAUGCCCAAAUAGGCUAUGAGGGCACCUAUAUUUACACUGAUUGCCCUUUAUUGGUAACAUCUCCAUCUGAGGGUGGAUCCUGUCUGGCAUGGUGACCAAGAUAAAAGAUGCAAAAGAUCAACAUCAUCCACCAAGACUAUUUCCACUACAUGUGUAAGUACAGUUGCUUCAAGAAGCACAAGAACAUGUUCAUGCACCCAUCCCCUUGCAUCAGGGAUGUCCAGAUCAGCAACAUCAUCAUGGUUGGGUAAGCACCAGCAUGAGCAAGAUGGUACACUUCAACAUGCUCAUGGUCCCCAAUGCCACCAAGAAGCAAUUCCAGUUCUGAGUCU